ACGUAGGAGGCGAGCGUUAUCCGGAUUCACUGGGCGUAAAGCGCGUGCAGGCGGGUCGGUAAGUUGGGCGUGAAAUCUCCCGGCUCAACUGGGAGAGGGCGUUCAAUACUACCGGACUUGAGAGCGAUAGAGGAGAAUGGAAUUCCCGGUGUAGUGGUGAAAUGCGUAGAUAUCAGGAGGAACACCAGUGGCGAAGGCGAUUUACUGGAUCGAAUCUGACGCUCAGACGCGAAAGCGAGGGUAGCAAACGG
RNAcentral lists this ribosomal RNA (251 nucleotides) under uncultured prokaryote. RNAcentral's name for it is "partial 16S ribosomal RNA". It matches the Rfam family "Bacterial small subunit ribosomal RNA", at positions 525 to 775 of the family's 1533-position model. The record is from RNAcentral.